This 1316-nucleotide long non-coding RNA is filed under the name Homo sapiens (human). RNAcentral describes it as "HSALNT0363071". Lineage: Eukaryota; Metazoa; Chordata; Mammalia; Primates; Hominidae. The record is from RNAcentral.
UUUGAAAGAUAAGCUAGAAGUUUAUUUCAACACAAAGAAUGUGAAAGAAUGUAGAAUUCAUUCAGCAGAAAAAUGUUAACCAUCUUUUGCUUCCCAUAUGUCCUAGUUAAGGAGCUUUCUUUAGCCACAUGGCUGCUCACCUUUCCUUCCUGUAACUCAAAAAUAGUCACUUGCUGGUAAGGGUUCACAGUGCUGAAUAUGACACAGACUCAAAAAGAGAGAAGAAUAUUUACUUGUCAUUUUCCCCCUUUUCUUUUUUUCUUUUUUGAGAUGGAGUCUCGCACUGUCACCCAGGGUUGGAGUGCAAUGGCGUGAUCUCGGCUCACUGCAACCUCCGCCUCCCGGGUUCAAGCAAUUCUCCUGCCUCAACCUCCUGAGUAGCUGGGAUUACAGGCACCCGCCACCAAGCCUGGAUAAUUUUUGUUUUCUUUUUUUUGAGGUGGAGUUUCGGUCUUGUCACCCAGGCUGAAGUGCAGUGGCGUGAUCUCAGCUCACUGCAACCUCUACCUCCUGGGUUCAAAUGAUUCUCCUGCCUCAGCCUCCCAGGUAGCUGGGAUUACAGGCGCCCACCACCACUCCUGGCUAAUUUUUGUAGUUUUAGUAGAGACGGUUUCACCAUGUUGGCCAGUCUGGUCUUGAACUCCUGACCUCAAGUGAUCCGCCCGCAUUGGCCUCCCAAAGUGCUGUAAUUACAGGUGAGAGCCACCAUACCUAGACAAUUUUUUUUGUGUUUUUAGUAGAGAUGGGGUUUCACCAUGUUGGGCAGGCUGGUCACCUCGGCCUCCCAAAGUGUUGGUAUUACAGGCAUGAGCCACCACACCUGGAAGAAACAAUGUUUUUAACCAGUAUAGCAGGCAGGGUGUUUGCAGUGGCAAGCCAGGUUCAAAUGCUGGCUUGCCCCUUAACUAGCCUCUGUGACCCUGAACAAGUUAACUUUGAUUUCUAAGUCUCAGGUUUAUGAACAACAACAAACAAAACAGGAAGUGGACCUCAUACCUCCUAAUGUUGUUGAGGAUUAAAUGAGUAUUUAUACGAAAUGUCUGAUAAAGCCCAGAAGACAGCUCGACUGCAAUAAUAAAUCAUAAUUUUAUAAGCUUCCUUAAUUUCUAUACUUCUCCUAAGUAAAGGCUACAUCGCCCUCUGCCUGUCCCACUUUUUUCCUCAUGAGCAGUCUGACCCCUACCCCUACCCCUACCCCAAGUACAGAUGUAACAUUCCAAAAAGAACUGAAGGAGAGCCGUGGCUCACGCCUGUAAUCCCAGCACUUUGGGAGGCAGAGGCGGGCGGAUCAUGAGGUCAGGAGAUCGAGACCAUCC